RNAcentral lists this long non-coding RNA (259 nucleotides) under Olea europaea (common olive). Its description in RNAcentral is "long non-coding RNA (OEUR_LNC000053)". The record is from RNAcentral. Lineage: Eukaryota; Viridiplantae; Streptophyta; Magnoliopsida; Lamiales; Oleaceae.
AAUUCUGUUUACUCACAAGCAUACAUUUCUAUGUGCUAAUGGUUUUCUUGAAUUUCUCAGAAAAGUUCAGCCUCUCCUUUGAAGGCUUUGGUGUUGGCAGCUCCUGCUCCAUCAUCCUCUGCUAGAGCUGCUUUGUCCAAACCCGCUGAUGAAGGGACUACGCUUAAAGAGAAACCUUCAGUCCCGGAACCUUUAUCACAACCAAUGGACGAGCCACCUUCUUCCCAGGGCGCCGACCCCCCAAACGUUGAACCAGAAG